RNAcentral lists this ribosomal RNA (235 nucleotides) under uncultured prokaryote. Its description in RNAcentral is "partial 16S ribosomal RNA". It matches the Rfam family "Bacterial small subunit ribosomal RNA", at positions 524 to 758 of the family's 1533-position model. The record is from RNAcentral.
UACGGAGGGUGCAAGCGUUAAUCGGAAUUACUGGGCGUAAAGCGCACGCAGGCGGUUGGAUAAGUUAGAUGUGAAAGCCCCGGGCUCAACCUGGGAAUUGCAUUUAAAACUGUCCAGCUAGAGUCUUGUAGAGGGGGGUAGAAUUCCAGGUGUAGCGGUGAAAUGCGUAGAUAUCGGAAGGAACAUCAGUGGCGAAAGCGGCUUCCUGGACCAGCACCGACGUUCAGGCACGAAA